GCCGACAUGGUGUAGUGGUUUCAGCACUGGACUAUGACUCUGGAGAGCAGGGUUCAAAUCUCUGCUCAGUCA
Molecule: non-coding RNA, 72 nt
Organism: Phrynosoma platyrhinos (Desert horned lizard)
Lineage: Eukaryota; Metazoa; Chordata; Lepidosauria; Squamata; Phrynosomatidae
Source: the annotation of a GenBank genome assembly